This is a non-coding RNA of Araneus ventricosus, 75 nucleotides long. Lineage: Eukaryota; Metazoa; Arthropoda; Arachnida; Araneae; Araneidae. The record is from the annotation of a GenBank genome assembly.
UUCAGUGGAAUAAGGUUUCGAACCUGUAACCCUCCGGCUCACGAGGCCGACACCUGACCACUAGGUCACCGCCGU